GAUCCGGCUCAGAUUGAACGCUGGCGGCAGGCCUAACACAUGCAAGUCGAACGGUAACAGGAAGCAGCUUGCUGCUUUGCUGACGAGUGGCGGACGGGUGAGUAAUGUCUGGGAAACUGCCUGAUGGAGGGGGAUAACUACUGGAAACGGUAGCUAAUACCGCAUAACGUCGCAAGACCAAAGAGGGGGACCUUCGGGCCUCUUGCCAUCGGAUGUGCCCAGAUGGGAUUAGCUAGUAGGUGGGG
RNAcentral lists this ribosomal RNA (245 nucleotides) under uncultured bacterium. RNAcentral's name for it is "partial 16S ribosomal RNA". It matches the Rfam family "Bacterial small subunit ribosomal RNA", at positions 15 to 257 of the family's 1533-position model. The record is from RNAcentral.